AUUGCUUCUCAGACUUUUGAAUAAGAUCAUGUGUAUUAUCUGUUCCUAUCAGUUUAAUAUCUGAUGCGUCUUUUAUCCAAGGAUGAUACAUUAGUGGGUUUUUCUCCACAUAUU
This 114-nucleotide small nuclear RNA is filed under the name Cavia porcellus (domestic guinea pig). RNAcentral describes it as "U2 spliceosomal RNA". It matches the Rfam family "U2 spliceosomal RNA". Rfam says of the family: U2 is a small nuclear RNA (snRNA) component of the spliceosome (involved in pre-mRNA splicing). Complementary binding between U2 snRNA (in an area lying towards the 5' end but 3' to hairpin I) and the branchpoint sequence (BPS) of the intron results the bulging out of an unpaired adenosine, on the BPS, which initiates a nucleophilic attack at the intronic 5' splice site, thus starting the first of two transesterification reactions that mediate splicing. The record is from Rfam by way of RNAcentral. Lineage: Eukaryota; Metazoa; Chordata; Mammalia; Rodentia; Caviidae.